Molecule: ribosomal RNA, 436 nt
Filed under: uncultured Proteiniphilum sp.
Lineage: Bacteria; Pseudomonadati; Bacteroidota; Bacteroidia; Bacteroidales; Dysgonomonadaceae
Description: bacterial SSU rRNA
Rfam family: Bacterial small subunit ribosomal RNA
Source: RNAcentral
UUUAAUCGAUGAUACGCGAGGAACCUUACCCGGGCUUGAAAUGCAUCUGACGUAGGCAGAGACGUCUAUUCCCUUCGGGGCAGAUGUGUAGGUGCUGCAUGGUUGUCGUCAGCUCGUGCCGUGAGGUGUCGGCUUAAGUGCCAUAACGAGCGCAACCCUCAUCAUUAGUUACCAACAGGUCAAGCUGGGGACUCUAGUGAGACUGCCAUCGUAAGAUGUGAGGAAGGUGGGGAUGACGUCAAAUCAGCACGGCCCUUACGUCCGGGGCGACACACGUGUUACAAUGGGUGGUACAAAGGGCAGCUACCUGGCGACAGGAUGCUAAUCUCGAAAACCACUCUCAGUUCGGAUCGGAGUCUGCAACUCGACUCCGUGAAGCUGGAUUCGCUAGUAAUCGCGCAUCAGCCAUGGCGCGGUGAAUACGUUCCCGGGCCUU